GAGGCCUUAGCUUAAUUAAAGCGCUUGAGUUGCAGUCAAAGUAUGUAAGUUAGGAUUUUACAGGUCUUC
Molecule: transfer RNA, 69 nt
Filed under: Afrogecko porphyreus
Lineage: Eukaryota; Metazoa; Chordata; Lepidosauria; Squamata; Gekkonidae
Description: tRNA-Ala
Rfam family: tRNA
About the family: Transfer RNA (tRNA) molecules are approximately 80 nucleotides in length. Their secondary structure includes four short double-helical elements and three loops (D, anti-codon, and T loops).
Source: RNAcentral